UUCUUAUAGGUGGGAUUAUAAGUAUUGUCUGCUCAAUGUUUUAUAAAUAGCUGUAUUAACACUAAGGUAGCAUAAUAAUUUGCCUCUUUAUUGGGGGCUUGAAUGAAUGGCAUAAUGGAUGAAGGAGUGUAUUUUCUUUAGGGGUUGAAUUUUAAUUUUUAGUAAAAAUGCUAGGAUAAGGUUUAGGGACGAGAAGACCCUAAAAGCUUUUUAAGUUGAUUAUUUUUUUAUGGUUGGAUUUAGGGUGUUGGGGCAACAUAAUAAGAGGAAAAUCUUAUUUUAAUAGCCAAAAUUUUUGAUUUUAUGAAAAAGUUACUUUAGGGAUAACAGCAUAAUAAAUGUUAGGUAGUUCUGAUAUCUAAUGUUGAUUGUGACCUCGAUGUUGGAUCAAUAUUUCUUUUUGGUGAAGGAGCUGAAAGAGAUAGACUGUUCGUCUAUUGAAUUAUUACG
This 450-nucleotide ribosomal RNA is filed under the name Ogovea cameroonensis. RNAcentral's name for it is "partial 16S ribosomal RNA". It matches the Rfam family "Bacterial large subunit ribosomal RNA", at positions 1831 to 2600 of the family's 2925-position model. The record is from RNAcentral. Lineage: Eukaryota; Metazoa; Arthropoda; Arachnida; Opiliones; Ogoveidae.